Molecule: long non-coding RNA, 217 nt
Filed under: Phoenix dactylifera (date palm)
Lineage: Eukaryota; Viridiplantae; Streptophyta; Magnoliopsida; Arecales; Arecaceae
Description: long non-coding RNA (PDAC_LNC015213)
Source: RNAcentral
GAUUAUCUUCUGAAAGGUCAAAGUUUGCUAUGCAUGUUAACUAAGGAAACAAACAAGAAUCAAUUUCUAAAUCUAAAGAUGUUGUUUCCAUCACUAAGUUUUCAAAAGCUUACACUGGAUUUGUUCUUGGCAAAUAAAACUGAAGUAUUUUUCUGUAUUUGCUAAAUCUUGUAAAAGUGUUUCAAAUGAAAAAGGUUUCCAAACUGUGAAGAUAAAG